CCAGUUUACUUUCCAGAAGGACUAAAUCAAAAUGCUGGUGCUCGUCAGAGCUAUGGCGAUAAAAUGCUAUCGGAAUAAGCCUUACGGACCCGGGGGCAGUACCCGGCGCCUCCACCACCUUUCUCGGGGGCGAAACAGGAUCGACGUGGGUGUAAAGGGUUGUCUUUCGCUCGGCAUGGUUCCGCCGCCAUCGGGCCAAUUUGAUAAUUGCAAACAGCAAUUACGCCAAGGUUUCCCUCGCUGCGUAACGCAGCGCCGAACCUAAAAUGAAGCCCUUCUCCCAUGGCUGGGAGUAAGGCGGGGUUCGCAGGCACCUGGCAACAGAAGCCUGCACU
Molecule: transfer-messenger RNA, 335 nt
Filed under: Devosia sp.
Lineage: Bacteria; Pseudomonadati; Pseudomonadota; Alphaproteobacteria; Hyphomicrobiales; Devosiaceae
Rfam family: Alphaproteobacteria transfer-messenger RNA
About the family: Bacterial tmRNA, also known as 10Sa RNA or SsrA, is named for its dual tRNA and mRNA-like properties.
Source: RNAcentral